AUUGAACGCUGGCGGCAGGCCUAACACAUGCAAGUCGAGCGAGCGGCGGACGGGUGAGUAAUGCCUGGGAAUUGCCCAGCCGAGGGGGAUAACAGUUGGAAACGACUGCUAAUACCGCAUACGAUUGGAUUGCCCAGGUGGGAUUAGCUAGUUGGUGAGGUAAUGGCUCACCAAGGCGACGAUCCCUAGCUGGUCUGAGAGGAUGAUCAGCCACGCUGGAACGGAGACACGGUCCAGACUCCUACGGGAGGCAGCGGUGGGGAAUAUUGCACAAUGGGGGAAACCCUAGGGAAGCCAUGCCGCGUGUGUGAGGAAGGCCUUCGGAUUGUAGAGCACUUUCAGCGAGGAGGCGUUACGCGCAGAAGAAGCACCGGCUAACUCCGUGCCAGGAGCCGCGGUAAUAC
Molecule: ribosomal RNA, 404 nt
Filed under: uncultured bacterium
Lineage: Bacteria
Description: partial 16S ribosomal RNA
Rfam family: Bacterial small subunit ribosomal RNA
Source: RNAcentral